CAAUCAUUUCUUAAAAUGUUUCAAGCAGCGACUCACCUUACAAAGAAAAUUGGGAACGUAGCAAUCAUGCAAUCAUCGGUGCUAAAUCAGAGUGGUGACGAAGCGGUGGAAUGUCCGCUUUGCAUGGAACCUCUGGAGGUAGAUGAUCUCAAUUUCUUCCCCUGCACAUGCGGAUAUCAGAUAUGUAGGUUCUGUUGGCAUAGAAUUCGUACUGAUGAAAAUGGAUUGUGCCCUGCAUGUCGCAAGGCCUAUCCAGAAAAUCCUGCGGAUUUUAAGCCUCUUAGCCAAGAAGAGGUUUCGCGUCUUAAGCAGGAGAAGCGACAUAAAGAUCAUCAACGAAAGCAGAAAGUGACUGAAAACCGAAAGCACUUAGCUAAUGUAAGAGUGGUCCAAAAGAAUUUGGUGUUUGUUGUAGGUUUACCAACACGAUUAGCAGAUCCCGAGGUUCUGAAAAAGCAUGAAUAUUUUGGAAAGUUUGGAAAGAUACACAAAGUUGUUAUCAAUCAAAGUACUACAUAUGCAGGUUCACAGGGUCCAAGUGCCAGUGCUUAUGUAACUUAUUUCAAAUCCGAUGAUGCAUUACGUGCUAUUCAAGCUGUUCAGAAUGUUCCUGUUGAUGGACGCACCAUCAAAACAUCAUUAGGAACAACAAAAUAUUGUUCACAUUUCAUGAAGAAUCAAGUAUGUCCGAAGCCAGACUGCAUGUAUCUUCAUGACCAUGGUGAUCCCGAUGCCAGCUUUACCAAGGAAGAAAUGCAACAAGGAAAGCACCAGGAAUUUGAAAAGAAAUUACACGAAACACUGAUAAAUUCCUACAACAAAGAUAGAAAACCUACGCCAUCACCCCCAACAGCUGUAGGUUCUGCCAGUCAACCUAGUAUACAACCGAGUAAAGAUGCCUGGCCUUCAUUACAACCAGGCACAACAAUUAAUUCAGUUGGUCCUAGUAUUCUUUCAUCAACAUCAAAUGGCACUAACAGCAGCAGUAAUAGUAGCUCCAGCAGUAAUAGCAAUGGAAAUAGCAAUAAUAACAAAGGCGAGGGCAGCAAUCAAAAGAAACAACAGACUAGUUCUAAAAACAAGAAGAAAAAUAAUAUCAAUUCAGGCAUAGAAGAAGGCAAAGGAAAAUCAAAAGACAAAAAUUCAGCUCAGACUACAGAUAAAGAGGAUGCUCAUCGAAAACAAAAUUCCCAUCAAAUACAGUCAAGCAGUACUAAAGCUCCCCGAUCAGAUAGGGCUAAUAAAAGUGAUAAACACAGAAAUAUGGAUCCUGAACAGGAUCACAGAAAUGAAAGAUCAAAUGUUACUGAUAAUAUAGAUGAGGCUGAUUUAACUGAGUCUCAACACUUUGAAAAUGUCAGUCAAUUUGGUGAUGUGGAAGAAAGAAUAGACACAAUAGAUGUGACGGUAAAGUCUGACAGAGUAGAAAAGACUGAAAGACCUAGCCAAAGUCAGAGGAACCAUCUGACAGAAAAUCAUUUUGGUGAACUGGAAAACACCCUGUACUCAUCUUCGACUCCAGUUUCCACUUCAUCAGAAGAAUCUUCUCCUGGUGGUCGUAGCUCCCCUGCUCGCCUUUCUGCCUCGCAUAGAGCAGCGUCUCUUUUGGAACCUGACAACAAUUCCUUCUUUUCUGCAGGCUUUACAAAAGUCAAUCCGUCUACUCCUAAUGCUGUUUCUAAUAGUGAAUGGGCUCCAAAUGGUGUGUCCCUUCCGCAUAUGCCUGAUGUUUUGCCACCAGUUCAUUCGUCUGAGGACUGGCAGGCAGCAUUUGGGUUUGGAUCCAAUAGCUCAGUACCAGAAACCAAACAAACAUCUGCUGCAGCUAUGCUGGCUAAAUAUCACGCCUGGCUUGAACUUGCUGGUCAACAGAAACUCGAAAAUUCCGGUGUUAAUUUAGUGAAUUCAAAUUCAGUGCCUGGUUCUAAUGAGCAGACCUUCGCUCACCAGUCCAGUACUUUUGGCCCAGUGCGAGUGCCAGAAAGUUCCAGUUUGUUGAUGCACAAUGCUUUCCAGCAGCAGCAGCAUCACCACCACCAACAACAGCAACAACAGCAGCAGCAGCAGCAGCAACAACAACAGCAUCAACAACAGCAACAUCAAUCCUUUUUGCUUCAUCUACAGCAACAGCAAGCCCUGCGUCUGCAACAGGGUAGCCUGACCUCUGCAGGUCCGGAGGUUGGCUUUCCAUCUGCUGAUGUUAAUCGUGAAAACAUCAGCAAUGGUCCAUCAGAAAGGGAGGCUUUCCUUCGCUUUGAUCAACAUAGUUCUGCAAACUCAUUAUUAAAUAAUAGCCAUGAGGACUACUUUAACAACAGUGAUCAUAGUGAAAGAAGACACACAGACGAUGAUCUUGGGUUUGAUCCAUUCCAUGAGACACAGAAGGGUCUUGCAGAGAUGAUGGAAAAGGAACAGUUACUUAAACAGCAACAGCAGCAACAGAAUCAUAAUUAUCUUCAACAUCAACACCACCAUCAGCUCAUGCAGCAAGCCCAGCUUGCAGCUCUUAAUCAGCAACACAACUACCAACAACACAAUCCCUUAUACCAUAGACUGGCACCUCAGCAACAGGUGCCUAGCUGCACAAAACUAUUGGAAGGACUUGGUCUAGGUAUGAAUAGUUCAAUGGCAACCCGCAGCCGACCUCCCCCACCAGGUUUUGCCCCUGCACCUAACCACAUGAAUGCCUUUGGAAUGGGUUUACCUCGUACUGCACCGACUAGCAGCAACCCUAGCAGCAACUUAGGAAGUAAAGUUUUACCGUUUAUGGGUCUGGGCAGUGUUGGCAGCUCUGCAAAUAACAGCAGUGCCAGUAGCAGCAAUGGAAGUCAAAAUUCACAGGGUAUGCCAACAAAUCAUAUGCCGUUCAUGAAUGGCUCCAUACUGAAUCAAGGUAUGUCUAAAACUACACUGGAUUCUAUGUUUGCCAGUGCUAAAGAAUGGCCAGAGAACUGUAGAUCUCUUUUACCAAAUCUUGGUACUAGUGUUCCCCAAGCCCCAUCACAUAGUUAUGCUGCUCAGAAAACUGCUGCUUCUAGUUGGAACUGCCCUGACUGGACAGCGUUAGAUCCAGCCAUUGUUUCAUCAUCCAGACCACACUGGCCUGCUAGUUCACCAAUGAGUACGCCCACUCCACCACCAGGAUUCGGCUUUGGACAGCAACACCCACACACAUUAAACACAACGAAUAUGGACAAUGCAUAGCAGUGAAAUAUUUCUGCCGCAGAGGAUGGUCAUUGCAAGACACUAGACUUAAACCAGUCUGUCAUCGCUAUAAUUUCAAAUGGUGCUGGUUCUACUUAUUUGUUUUUGUCUUGUGUGGUCCAUAGUCCAUGUACCAAUCAAAUUUAAAAUGUCAACUGUUAUGAAAUGCAAAUGAACAGUAUUGGGUGAAUGUUCAAAGCUGAAGUCUUUUGACUGAAAAGAUAUGCCAGGCCACUAUGGGGAGCUGGCCCAGCACUGAGAUUACCAACAAAUUACUGAAUUCAAAUGUGAGUUACUAUGUCUAAUGGGUUGGAUUUUGUGCUUCAAAAAUGUGAUCCAGCUUCCUACAUUAUUACUCGUAUAAUGGGAGCAAAGCAUACAAUAUAUAUUAUUUUUUGCUCUUACAAAUUAUGGCAGAAUAAAGAGUGGAAAAUACGAUUAUUAUUAUUA
RNAcentral lists this unclassified non-coding RNA (3654 nucleotides) under Thrips palmi. Its description in RNAcentral is "myb-like protein Q, transcript variant X1". The record is from RNAcentral. Lineage: Eukaryota; Metazoa; Arthropoda; Insecta; Thysanoptera; Thripidae.